AUUGCCAGCUGGUGGAUCUUGAGAGAAAAUUCCAAGGCUUGCAGCAGACUGUUGACAAAAAGGUUUGCAGCAGCAAUCCUUGCCAGAAUGGUGGAACCUGCCUCAAUCUGCAUGAUUCCUUUUUUUGUAUCUGUCCCCCACAGUGGAAGGGUCCUCUCUGCUCAGCUGAUGUUAACGAAUGUGAGAUUUACUCAGGAACACCCUUGAGCUGCCAGAAUGGAGGCACAUGUGUUAAUACAAUGGGAAGUUACAGGAACCGGAAGAAGGCUCCCGUGAUUGGCACAGAGAGUAAGCAUGGCCUGGUGCAAAAGGAGCUGAAGACUUAGGAAGAGCCGGAGCAUUGAAGGGGAGCCACUGAAUGGCCUUAAGUAGAAAAGGGGACACCCCACCACACCAGUGUCCCCAGCUGUACUCUUUCCAUGUAUUAGCAAGCUCAUAGUUUUGGGUAAAGAGAGCUUUAUUCAAUGCUAUGUCAAAAUGUGACCAUAACGAGGUCAAAGAUUAAACUGAGGUUCAAUGAA
Molecule: long non-coding RNA, 521 nt
Filed under: Homo sapiens (human)
Lineage: Eukaryota; Metazoa; Chordata; Mammalia; Primates; Hominidae
Description: HSALNT0159485
Source: RNAcentral